This is a long non-coding RNA of Melitaea cinxia (Glanville fritillary), 901 nucleotides long. RefSeq lists it as uncharacterized. The record is from RefSeq and is a predicted model, not a curated record. The transcript has 5 exons. NCBI's taxonomy places the organism in Eukaryota, Metazoa, Arthropoda, Insecta, Lepidoptera, Nymphalidae.
GGCAGAAAUCAACAUAGCCCAUGUGAUCCACCGCAGUCUGGACCACAUGUCAGGCCACAUUGUCGUGGACAUCGAGGACAUCAUAGAGAUUAUAGCCGCCAUGGCCAUAAAGGUCACAGAUUUAGUGGUCAUGGACACGGACCAUGUGGCCACCACAGACACCAUCACGUACACAGCUACCAUGGUCAACACGGAGAGUUUUUCGGGCACCUUUAUUGGAGACCAUGGGGAAGAUUUGAAAACUUUGAAAGACGUUGGUUUGGUGAAGCUUCUAGACCAUGCUGCGGCCACUGUCCAGAAGACAAAAGAAGACCUGGUCGAUGUCAAAGAAAUAGAGAAGAAAAUGCCACAGAGGAAACUGUGUUGGUGCGAGGCAUUGUGAUUCAAGAAGACAGAAGGCCAAAUUCAGUUUGAAUGGAUGAUAUGACUAUCAACGGCAUAAGGCAUGUUUAAAUAUUGAACUCAUUUAGAUGAGACUUGUCAGAUGUAUAUUGUCAAAUAUACAUAAUAUAUCACAUAAAAUAAGCAGAAAUAAUAUCACAGGGGUUUUAAUGGGAAAGAAUCCCACAAUAUCCGGUUCUACCCCAAGAGCCGGGCAUCUUUUUGAAGAUUUCCCAUGUGUAAGCAAAAAAAAUUAGGAAUAAUAAGCAUAAAAGAUAUAUGUAUCAUAUAAACUAAAGCAAGUAAGAAAGACGCAGACUUCUAAGUGUCUUUAUAUAUACUUAUAUGAAUAAAAAAUCUUAAAAAAAAUCAAUAAUAUCUAAAUAUCUUAAGUAUAAGUUCUUAGAUUAUUUGUAUAUGCCUUGAUACAAGCAAAAACAGAAGAUAACAAAGAAUAAGCAAAAGGAUGAAUCAGACAAAAACAUUCAAUAAAACAUUACAAAAUAAAAACUAUAUUGUG